RNAcentral lists this small RNA (548 nucleotides) under Pan troglodytes (chimpanzee). RNAcentral's name for it is "retained intron". The record is from RNAcentral. Lineage: Eukaryota; Metazoa; Chordata; Mammalia; Primates; Hominidae.
GAGAGCGGGAAGCCGAGCUGGGCGAGAAGUCGGGGAGGGCGGUGCCCCGCCGCGGUGGCGGUUGCUAUCGCUUCGCAGAACCUACUCAGGCAGCCAGCUGAGAAGAGUUGAGGGAAAGUGCUGCUGCUGGGUCUGCAGACGCGAUGGAUAACCUGCAGCCGAAAAUAAAACAUCGCCCCUUCUGCUUCAGUGUGAAAGGCCACGUGAAGAUGCUGCGGCUGGCACUAACUGUGACAUCUAUGACCUUUUUUAUCGUCGCACAAGCCCCUGAACCAUAUAUUGUUAUCACUGGAUUUGAAGUCACCGUUAUCUUAUUUUUCAUACUUUUAUAUAUAUUCAGACUUGAUCGAUUAAUGAAGUGGUUAUUUUGGCCUUUGCUUGUAAGUGUUCAGUUUCAUCCUUAAAUUUUACUUUUUCCUACCAUAGUGAGAUAUUCUAAUGAACUCUGUUUUUUGCUUCUCUUAAACCUUUAAGGUAAUCUCUGUUAGGCUUAGGAAGGAGGAGCUCUACCCAUUGCUAAUGUGCCCUGUAUUGCUUUGGGAGAGGGU